AGUGAACGCUGGCGGUAGGCCUAACACAUGCAAGUCGAACGGCAGCACAGGAGAGCUUGCUCUCUGGGUGGCGAGUGGCGGACGGGUGAGGAAUACAUCGGAAUCUACUCUGUGGUGGGGGUUAACGUAGGGAAACUUACGCUAAUACCGCUUACGACCUACGGGUGAAAGCAGGGGACCUUCGGGCCUUGCGCGAUUGAAUGAGCCGAUGUCGGAUUAGCUAGUUGGCGGGGUAAAGGCCCAACAAGGCGACGAUCCGUAGAUGGUCUGAGGGGAUGGUCCGCCACACUGGAACUGAGACACGGUGCAGACUCCUACGGGAGGCAGCAGUGGGGAAUAUUGGACAAUGGGCGCAAGCCUGAUCCAGCCAUACCGCGUGGGUGAAGAAGGCCUUCGGGUUGUAAAGCCCUUUUGUUGGGAAAGAAAUCCAGCUGGCUAAUACCCGGUUGGGAUGACGGUACCCAAAGAAUAAGCACCGGCUAACUUCGUGCCAGCCGCCGCCGUAA
RNAcentral lists this ribosomal RNA (506 nucleotides) under uncultured bacterium. Its description in RNAcentral is "partial 16S ribosomal RNA". It matches the Rfam family "Bacterial small subunit ribosomal RNA", at positions 29 to 523 of the family's 1533-position model. The record is from RNAcentral.